GUGUGUGAGUGUUGCUCUGCAGAUGAGAUAACGCUAGCCCUUAUCCGUCCACGAGGUUGUUAGCCAUGCACAGCCCUCGCUGGUGUUGACAUUUCCCUGCCCAACCUGUCUGAACACAUAGGGCCAUGGAGGCUCCUCUCAGGCUGUCUGUUUCCAUGGCAGAUAAAGAGCUCUUG
RNAcentral lists this long non-coding RNA (176 nucleotides) under Scophthalmus maximus (turbot). Its description in RNAcentral is "lncRNA (ENSSMAG00000027909.1)". Lineage: Eukaryota; Metazoa; Chordata; Actinopteri; Pleuronectiformes; Scophthalmidae. The record is from RNAcentral.